ACGUGUAGGCGGUUGGGCAAGUCAGAUGUGAAAGCCUUCCGCUCAUCGGAAGAAGGGCAUUUGAAACUACCUGGCUAGAGUACGGGAGAGGAGAGUGGAAUUCCCGGUGUAGAGGUGAAAUUCGUAGAUAUCGGGAGGAACACCAGUGGCGAAGGCGGCUCUCUGGUCCGAUACUGACGCUGAGACGCGAAAGCGUGGGGAGCAAACAGGAUUAGAUACCCUGGUAGUCCACGCCGUAAACGAUGGGCACUAGGUGUAGGAGGUAUUGACCCCUUCUGUGCCGAAGCUAACGCAUUAGUCGCCCCGCUGAGGAGUACGGCCGCAAGGCUAAA
RNAcentral lists this ribosomal RNA (332 nucleotides) under uncultured bacterium. RNAcentral describes it as "bacterial SSU rRNA". It matches the Rfam family "Bacterial small subunit ribosomal RNA", at positions 567 to 898 of the family's 1533-position model. The record is from RNAcentral.